GCGCCAUUAGCUCAGCGGAUAGAGUGUUCGGCUACGAACCGAAAGGUCACUGGUUCGAAUCCAGUAUGGCGUGCCA
RNAcentral lists this transfer RNA (76 nucleotides) under Eubacteriaceae bacterium. RNAcentral's name for it is "tRNA-Arg". It matches the Rfam family "tRNA". Rfam says of the family: Transfer RNA (tRNA) molecules are approximately 80 nucleotides in length. Their secondary structure includes four short double-helical elements and three loops (D, anti-codon, and T loops). Lineage: Bacteria; Bacillati; Bacillota; Clostridia; Eubacteriales; Eubacteriaceae. The record is from RNAcentral. RNAcentral also lists the same sequence under 1 other name.